This is a long non-coding RNA of Perca fluviatilis (European perch), 209 nucleotides long. RefSeq lists it as uncharacterized. The record is from RefSeq and is a predicted model, not a curated record. NCBI's taxonomy places the organism in Eukaryota, Metazoa, Chordata, Actinopteri, Perciformes, Percidae. The transcript is spliced from 3 exons.
CCGUUGCGUCUGGCGGAGUUUCCAUUUUGGAAUCGCGGAUCCUUCACCAACUGCUUGGGACUUGCAGAAAACCAGAGACUACCACUCCCGCAGACGCAGAGGCCCAGCUGUCUCUCCCAUCAUCAUGCUCGGUUUUCAGUCAGGAUUAAUCCUGACUCCAACAAGUGCACUGCCAAGGAGCAGAUGAGCAAGACGACUGGGAGAGUGGU